RNAcentral lists this ribosomal RNA (376 nucleotides) under uncultured bacterium. Its description in RNAcentral is "bacterial SSU rRNA". It matches the Rfam family "Bacterial small subunit ribosomal RNA", at positions 523 to 898 of the family's 1533-position model. The record is from RNAcentral.
AUACGUAGAGUGCAAGCGUUGUCCGGAAUUAUUGGGCGUAAAGGGUACGCAGGCGGAUAAACAAGUCAAGCGUGAAAGGUGUCGGCUUAACCGACAGACUGCGUUUGAAACUGAUUAUCUUGAGUGUAACAGAGGAGAGUGGAAUUCCUAGUGUAGUGGUGAAAUACGUAGAUAUUAGGAAGAACACCAGUGGCGAAGGCGACUCUCUGGGUUAACACUGACGCUGAGGUACGAAAGCUGGGGGAGCGAACGGGAUUAGAUACCCCGGUAGUCCCAGCCGUAAACGAUGGAUACUAGGUGUUGGAGGUUCGAAUCCUUCAGUGCCGGAGUUAACGCAUUAAGUAUCCCGCCUGGGGAUUACGAUCGCAAGAUUGAA